RNAcentral lists this ribosomal RNA (464 nucleotides) under Buccinulum lineatum. RNAcentral describes it as "partial 16S ribosomal RNA". It matches the Rfam family "Bacterial large subunit ribosomal RNA", at positions 1832 to 2564 of the family's 2925-position model. The record is from RNAcentral. Lineage: Eukaryota; Metazoa; Mollusca; Gastropoda; Neogastropoda; Buccinidae.
UGUUAUUAAAAAAUGAGGAGUCGGACCUGCCCAGUGAAUCGCUUUAACGGCCGCGGUACUCUGACCGUGCAAAGGUAGCAUAAUCAUUUGCCUUAUAAUUGAAGGCUUGUAUGAAUGGUUUGACGAGAGCAACACUGUCUCCUUUUUAUUUUCUAAAAUUUGACCCCAGGUGAAGAGGCCUGCAUACUACCAAAGGACAAGAAGACCCUAUCGAGCUUUAAGGAUGAACAGAAAAUCUAUAUGUAAUACAGAUAAAUAGCUAGCAUAUCCUUUUGGUUGGGGCGACCGAGGAACAAAUAAAGCUUCCUCUUUCUGAAAGACUUAGUAAGUUUAGAUCCAGUUAUACUGAUUAAAAAAAUUAGCUACCGUAGGGAUAACAGCAUAAUCUCUCUUGAGAGACCUAAUCGAAAGAGGGGGUUGUGACCUCGAUGUUGGACUAAGGCAUCCUAAAGGUGCAGAAGCCU